AACGUUGGCCCGUAAUCCGGGUUGCGGACAGUGUCUGGUGGGUAGUUUGACUGGGGCGGUCUCCUCCUAAAGAGUAACGGAGGAGCACGAAGGUUGGCUAAUCCUGGUCGGACAUCAGGAGGUUAGUGCAAUGGCAUAAGCCAGCUUGACUGCGAGCGUGACGGCGCGAGCAGGUGCGAAAGCAGGUCAUAGUGAUCCGGUGGUUCUGAAUGGAAGGGCCAUCGCUCAACGGAUAAAAGGUACUCCGGGGAUAACAGGCUGAUACCGCCCAAGAGUUCAUAUCGACGGCGGUGUUUGGCACCUCGAUGUCGGCUCAUCACAUCCUGGGGCUGAAGUAGGUCCCAAGGGUAUGGCUGUUCGCCAUUUAAAGUGGUACGCGAGCUGGGUUUAGAACGUCGUGAGACAGUUCGGUCCCUAUCUGCCGUGGGCGCUGGAGAACUGAGGGGGGCUGCUCCUAGUACGAGAGGACCGGAGUGGACGCAUCACUGGUGUUCGGGUUGUCAUGCCAAUGGCACUGCCCGGUAGCUAAAUGCGGAAGAGAUAAGUGCUGAAAGCAUCUAAGCACGAAACUUGCC
This 575-nucleotide ribosomal RNA is filed under the name Escherichia coli. RNAcentral's name for it is "partial 23S ribosomal RNA". It matches the Rfam family "Bacterial large subunit ribosomal RNA", at positions 2224 to 2798 of the family's 2925-position model. The record is from RNAcentral. Lineage: Bacteria; Pseudomonadati; Pseudomonadota; Gammaproteobacteria; Enterobacterales; Enterobacteriaceae.